Molecule: ribosomal RNA, 114 nt
Filed under: Pteropus alecto (black flying fox)
Lineage: Eukaryota; Metazoa; Chordata; Mammalia; Chiroptera; Pteropodidae
Source: RNAcentral
GUUUACAGCCACGCCACCCUGGACACACCUGAUCUCGGAAGCUAAGCAGGGUCGAGCCUGGUUAGUACUUGGAUGGGAGACCACCUAGGAAAGGAAUACUUGGUGCUGUAGGCA